CCGGAGAAUGUUAUCACGGGAGACACACGGCGGGUGCUAACGUCCGUCGUGAAGAGGGAAACAACCCAGACCGCCAGCUAAGGUCCCAAAGUCAUGGUUAAGUGGGAAACGAUGUGGGAAGGCCCAGACAGCCAGGAUGUUGGCUUAGAAGCAGCCAUCAUUUAAAGAAAGCGUAAUAGCUCACUGGUCGAGUCGGCCUGCGCGGAAGAUGUAACGGGGCUAAACCAUGCACCGAAGCUGCGGCAGCGACACUCAGGUGUUGUUGGGUAGGGGAGCGUUCUGUAAGCCUGYGAAGGUGGCCUGUGAGGGUUGCUGGAGGUAUCAGAAGUGCGAAUGCUGACAUAAGUAACGAUAAAGCGGGUGAAAAGCCCGCUCGCCGGAAGACCAAGGGUUCCUGUCCAACGUUAAUCGGGGCAGGGUGAGUCGACCCCUAAGGCGAGGCCGAAAGGCGUAGUCGAUGGGAAACGGGUUAAUAUUCCCGUACUUGGUGUUACUGCGAAGGGGG
This 505-nucleotide ribosomal RNA is filed under the name Salmonella enterica. Its description in RNAcentral is "partial 23S ribosomal RNA". The record is from RNAcentral. Lineage: Bacteria; Pseudomonadati; Pseudomonadota; Gammaproteobacteria; Enterobacterales; Enterobacteriaceae.